This 465-nucleotide ribosomal RNA is filed under the name uncultured Klebsiella sp. RNAcentral's name for it is "bacterial SSU rRNA". It matches the Rfam family "Bacterial small subunit ribosomal RNA", at positions 338 to 795 of the family's 1533-position model. Lineage: Bacteria; Pseudomonadati; Pseudomonadota; Gammaproteobacteria; Enterobacterales; Enterobacteriaceae. The record is from RNAcentral.
CCUACGGGUGGCUGCAGUGGGGAAUAUUGCACAAUGGGCGCAAGCCUGAUGCAGCCAUGCCGCGUGUGUGAAGAAGGCCUUCGGGUUGUAAAGCACUUUCAGCGGGGAGGAAGGCGGUGAGGUUAAUAACCUCAUCGAUUGACGUUACCCGCAGAAGAAGCACCGGCUAACUCCGUGCCAGCAGCCGCGGUAAUACGGAGGGUGCAAGCGUUAAUCGGAAUUACUGGGCGUAAAGCGCACGCAGGCGGUCUGUCAAGUCGGAUGUGAAAUCCCCGGGCUCAACCUGGGAACUGCAUUCGAAACUGGCAGGCUAGAGUCUUGUAGAGGGGGGUAGAAUUCCAGGUGUAGCGGUGAAAUGCGUAGAGAUCUGGAGGAAUACCGGUGGCGAAGGCGGCCCCCUGGACAAAGACUGACGCUCAGGUGCGAAAGCGUGGGGAGCAAACAGGAUUAGAUACCCAUGUAGUC